AGGGGAUGUCUAAGGAUGAGUUGGAGCACACUCGAGAUAAAAAAAUAAAAAAUGACAAAGAAACAAAUUCUGUUGUAGUAGGUGCGGGAAAUAAAGAAAAUGGAACAGAUGUGCCCGGUGUAGAUGAGAAUGCGGAUGUAGUUAUGUCAGAGAACGAAAAGGAAGAAGAUAAAAAAGAUGAUGAAGAAAAAGAAGAUAAAAAAGAUGAUGAAGAAAAAGAAGAUAAAAAAGAUGAUGAAGAAAAAGAAGAUAAAAAAGAUGACGAAGAAAAAGAAGAUAAAAAAGAUGAUGAAGAUGACGAAGAAGAAGAAGUUGUAGCCGAAACANNNNNNNNNNCUUUUAUAAUAGAAUCAGUUCAGUAUAGUAAUAAUGUUUGCGGGGGGAGGACGCAUAUACAUAUGAGUACAUAAGCAUGUAAAUACAUACACUUAUGUUCACAUAUUAGUUUACAUACAUAUGUACAUAAAUAAAUGCAUUAGUGUGUUAUAAUUAUAACUGUAUCAAAUUAAAAAAUGACGUUUUUCAAAACUUUUAUCUUACUAUUCUUUUUUUAUGUGUGUUGCCAUUUAACAACAUGUACACACUUUACAAUAAAACCUUUUGAGAGAGACUGUUUCCACAUGAGCGUUAACAAACAUAAUGUUAUUGCUGGGUCGUAUGAUAUAAUUGAAAGGUAUGCCUAUGUAUCUAUAAGUAUUCUUACUAUUAAUAAUAAAAAAAAAGAUAUUUUUUUCAAGUCAGAUAAAAACCAAGAUAAGUUCGAAGUUAAGGUGGAGAAGGCGGGGUUGUACUAUUUUUGUUACGAUAACAAACGAAACAACGAAAUAACACUUAUGUUUACCCUUCGAAUACAAGAGGGUUCUAACGCUGAAGACUCUGAAUUCAGUACCGUUGAUGAUAUGGAGAAAAUAACUUUCAAAUCAUCUAAGUUAUAUUAUCAGUUUUUGGAUGUGGUUGAUGAACAAGAAAGGAUUUUAGAAAAGGCAGACGUAUAUAAACAGGCCAAUGACAAAAUGAAUUAUAAAUUAAUUGUGUGGUCGGAGAUAGAAAUAAUCAUACUAAUAAUAUUAACAUUAGUCCACAUUUAUUAUAUAAAAUCAUUUUUCGAAAUUAAAACAAUAGUAUAGCUAUUCGUUCAUUAUUUUUUUUUUUUCUUUUUUUUCUUUUUUUUUUUGUUUGUGAAAAAAAUACAUAUAAAGUUAAUAUGUAUAGACAUUUAAUUUACAUAUAUAUAUAUAUGUGCAUAUGGGUCUACAUACAUAUGUGUGUACAACAUAUAACAUAUAAACAUAUAUGUAAAUAUAUAUACACCUUAGUUCGUGUGGUUGAUAUAUAUAUAUAUAUAUAUAUAUAUAUAUAUAUAUAUAUGCAUGUCCACAUAAUUUACAUUUUUAUGUAUACACAGAUACGCUGUUUAGAAAAUUAAUUGUUUUUGUGUUAUCCAUAUCAUUUUAUUUUUUAAAAUUUCAUUAUGAUGUUCUUAUAUUUUGAAGAAAAAGAAAAAGAAAAAAAUUUAAAGCACUAUAUAAAGCAUUAUAUAAAGCAUUAUAUAAAGUAUUAUAUAAAGUAUUAUAUAAAGUAUUAUAUAAAGUAUUAUAUUGUAAUGAUAGAGAUAUUUC
Long non-coding RNA from Piliocolobus tephrosceles (Ugandan red Colobus), 1619 nucleotides. The record is from Ensembl. Lineage: Eukaryota; Metazoa; Chordata; Mammalia; Primates; Cercopithecidae.